Molecule: non-coding RNA, 21 nt
Filed under: Caenorhabditis elegans
Lineage: Eukaryota; Metazoa; Nematoda; Chromadorea; Rhabditida; Rhabditidae
Source: RNAcentral
UUAAGCAUAUCCUUGAUUAAU